This 468-nucleotide ribosomal RNA is filed under the name uncultured bacterium. RNAcentral describes it as "partial 16S ribosomal RNA". It matches the Rfam family "Bacterial small subunit ribosomal RNA", at positions 28 to 507 of the family's 1533-position model. The record is from RNAcentral.
GACGAACGCUGACGGCGUGCUUAACACAUGCAAGUCGAACGGAAAGGCCCUGCUUUUGUGGGGUGCUCGAGUGGCGAACGGGUGAGUAACACGUGAGUAACCUGCCCUUGACUUUGGGAUAACUUCAGGAAACUGGGGCUAAUACCGGAUAGGAGCUCCUGCUGCAUGGUGGGGGUUGGAAAGUUUCGGCGGUUGGGGAUGGACUCGCGGCUUAUCAGCUUGUUGGUGGGGUAGUGGCUUACCAAGGCUUUGACGGGUAGCCGGCCUGAGAGGGUGACCGGCCACAUUGGGACUGAGAUACGGCCCAGACUCCUACGGGAGGCAGCAGUGGGGAAUAUUGCACAAUGGGCGGAAGCCUGAUGCAGCAACGCCGCGUGCGGGACGACGGCCUUCGGGUUGUAAACCGCUUUCGCCUGUGACGAAGCGUGAGUGACGGUAAUGGGUAAAGAAGCACCGGCUAACUACGUG